AUGUGUCUGACUGUGUGUGUGUGUAUGCGACUGUGUGUGUGUGUGUGUGUUUGUGUCUGACUGUGUGUGUGUGUGUUUGUGUCUGACUGUGUAUGUGUGUGUGUGUGUGUCUGACUGUGUGUGUGUGUGUGUUUGUGUCCUGACUGUGUAUGUGUCUGACUGUGUGUGUGUGUGUUUGUGUGUAUGCGUCUGACUGUGUGUGUGUUUGUGUCUGACUGUGUGUGUGUGUUUGUGUAUGUGUCUGACUGUGUGUGUGUGUGUGUGUGUUUGUGUCUGACUGUGUGUGUGUGU
Molecule: non-coding RNA, 291 nt
Organism: Pelobates cultripes (western spadefoot toad)
Lineage: Eukaryota; Metazoa; Chordata; Amphibia; Anura; Pelobatidae
Source: the annotation of a GenBank genome assembly